UGAACUGAGACGAAACCAAAGGCAGGCUAUGCUUUUUAAACGGACCCUUCACCUGAAAGAAAAAAAUAGAAGCAUAUUAAAGAAAGCUCUCCAGGCCAAGUUAUUCUGUUUGGCUCCAACUCUGACUGUAUCCCUGGACCUGUGCUUCUGUCGGCUCUGUCCUCUCAACCCUCAGUCAAUCACACUGAUGCAGGAAGGCAGAGAGUACUGGCAGCAGAGGAGGUGGCAUUCUGGGAGGAUGGCAACUAUGAGGGGGAGUCAAGAUGGACGUUGGUGAGGUGAAGACCCCAAGUUCCCAUUCAGGAGCUCAAUGACCUCAAGUCUACCCUACAGGAGAGACGGCAUCCGGUCCCAAUCAUUACCAGUUCUGAUGAUGUCACAAAGCAAGUUCACAACAUCCUAAAAUUAUAAGUCUUACUUUUUUCUUUGCCGUUUCUUCUGUACUCUUUAAAAUACCAGUGCUUUCUAAUUACUCUAUUGUUCUUUUUUGUAGGUUUCUGUAAACUCACUGUUCUUAGGAAGGAGAAAUGUCAGUUUAUCUGGAAUACUGUGACAUUGAAUGAAAACAAUACUCUGUCCUUGGUGAAAUAUUUUUCACAUUUCCUCCAAAGUGUACCUAUUGUUUUAUUGUGCUAAUUUUCAUAAGCAGGUUGACUGUAAACUUUGAAUGUAUUGACAAUUUGUACAAUUCUGUUACAGUAUAUCGGCAAUGUACUCUUGAAAAAUGUGGGUAACAUUUUAUUUGACAGGGUGUGCAUAAGACUUGACAUGAUACUGCCAUAAAACA
Molecule: non-coding RNA, 787 nt
Organism: Poecilia reticulata (guppy)
Lineage: Eukaryota; Metazoa; Chordata; Actinopteri; Cyprinodontiformes; Poeciliidae
Source: RefSeq, a predicted model, not a curated record